AAAUCAUUAAUAAUACUAAUAACUAAUAAUAAAAAUGCACCUGGUUGAACAACAUUAACUUUGAAUUCCUUAGUGUUGAUGGUAUAAAAAGCUUGGAGUUUGAUGGGUACAGAGGCAGCUUUAAGGUCACGAGCUUCAAUCCAUAAAUGGUAGUCCAAGGGAAAAGGGUCAGGAACUACAUCGAUCACCCUUGCAAACUCCAGCGUUGCAUUCUACAAUGUUAAAAGAUCAAUUCAACCAAACUAUAAAGGAAAAUUUGUUGAAAACCAUCUUAUAAAAACCAAAUUUUGUUGAAAACGAUCUUAUAAUUUUUAUUUUUAUUUUGUCAAGGCACACCUGUUUUAACUUUUUUUUUUUGUUAAGUCCCACCACUCCCCGGAUUUCGACGAUUGACUUACAUUUUCGGCGUUGACUAGCAUGUGCACCUCAGGUAACCCACUUAACCCCACUUUUCUUUUAUUUUUUUCCCCUUUUUCCUCCAUUCACUUCCCCUCUUCGUCACUCCUCUGCUUCCAUUUCGCAGAACAGUACAUAAACUGAACCAUUACAAUCACCAUUAGUUCUCCUAAAAGCUACCAAAUUCAAUAAAUGAAACUAAGCAACAAUUUUAGUAGCAAUAAUGCUAACAGCAACAGAUACAACAACACAGGCACAUAUCACCAUUCCUGUUUCCCUGUACAUCCUCUUCAUCUUCUCCAUUUUUUGGUCCCUUCUUGGUGAAUUAACAACAGCCAUCCUACCUGACAAUACACCCCAUAAACAGUUACACAUCACAACACAAAUUGCAGAACAUAUCUUAUAAUUCGCAUAAAACAAAAAGCAAAACACAAAUUGCUAUAAAACAAAUCGAAAAACACAAAUCGCAAAAUUUAAAUUGCUAUAAAACGAAUAGCAAAACGCAUCCCCAAAUUUUCGAAAUUCAGUUCAUUCAAUUGGUUAUGAACCCUAAUUUUCAAAUUCCUUAAAUUAAUUGUUCAAACUUUAAAAAAUAAAUAAAUUCGUAUAAAUGCUUGCUUGAAUUGCGUUUUCCCUUUGUGUUUGAUACGAUUUUGAUGGAUCUUCAAUUAGAUAUGCCUCUGAGUUGCAGAAAGGAGAAGCCACCGUUGUGCGAAAUGGAAGCAAAGGAGUGACGAAAAGGAAAAGUGAAUGGAGGGAAAAAGGGAAAAAAAUAAAGGAAAAAAUGGAAACUAAUAAUCCCACCUUUGGGUUUUCUGCUCAAAACAAUCUCACCUUUUCGAAAUCCCAAAACAAUCCCACCUUUAACCCCCAUCUGCUCAAAAUGAUCCCUUUUACCCAUAAUAGGUUGAUUUUUUUUUAUUAAUUUCUUAAAUCUCUUCUCCCUAACCUCUUCAAUGGCAACUCCACCAUUAUCACCAACCCCAGCAUAACCAGACCACCACUUCAUCAACACCACCACAUCACUACCUGACCCAACCUCGCCUGGUCCAACAGAACCCCCCGCCACUGCACCACACCACCCAACCUCGCCGCCUGGUCAGCAGAACCCCCCACCCAAUCCCUAAACCCAACCACCCUCAAAUCCUAGCUGACCCCCUCACCUAACCCAAGCGAUCCACCUGACCUCCACCACGUACUCCCAACCAUAUUCCAUGCCACCAAAUCGGCAAACCUCACCUUCUCCUAUCUGGCCCACGCGAAACUCGAGGUCUGUUUUGCCGUAACCGCCGCCGUUGCGAACAACAACAAUUUAGUCUUAUCUCGAAAUUAUUCUGAUCUAAAUCGAGUGUUGUGAGAAUGUGAGUUCAUCGUCGAUUUCGGUGGUUGGACCUUGUGAGUUAACUCGGUGCAGUAACCGGUGAGUCCGGGCCGAUUCAAGGCGAGUCCGGCGAGGUUGGUGGCUAACAAAUUAUGCGAAUUUUGCGUUUUGUUUGAGUCCAUUGGUGAGAGCUUCGCCGACAAGUCGGUAUCACAGAGUAUGCUAAGUAUGUUUUCUCUGGCAAGGGGAGGGUGGUUUUAAUGGCGAGCCAUUGGUCCUGGGAAGGGGAGAGAAGGAUUUUUUUUUAAUUCUUUUAUUUGUUUUUUAAUUUUUUAAAAAAAAAUCAAUCAAAAUGUGACACGUGGCAAAUUACCUUCUGAAACAGGUUACCAAUUUUACAAAUCAGUAAAAGGCUUGUUUUAAGCAGAUGGUGGUUAAAGGUGGGAUUGUUUAGGGAUUUCGAAAAGGUGAGAUUGUUUUGAGCAGAAAACUUAAAGGUGGGAUUAUUAGUUUCCAUUUUUCCAAAAAUAUAAGAAAAGUAGGGUUAAGUGGGUCACGUGAGGUGCACAUGCUAGUCAACGCCAAAAAUUUAAGUCAAUUGUCGGAAUACGGGGAGUGGUGGGACUUAACAAAAAAAAAAUUAAAAACAGGUGUGCUUGGACAAAAAAAAAAUUAUAAGAUGGUUUUCAACAAAUUUUCCUUCUACAAAACUCAGAAAACUAGCGUAAGGGAAAAAAAAUUAAAAAAUAAAUAAAUAAAUAAGAAAAGAAAAAAACUUGUUGCUGAUUGUACCCUUGAACAAUGUGACGUGCAAUGUUAGCGAUAGCUUGAUCAUGAACAUGAAACAUUGAUCCAUACACCCCAUCCUUGGCAUCGAUAUCCUCUAGUUGUUGCUUGAUCAACUCCGCCUCUUUUGUCUUUCUUUCAAGUUUGGUCAUAUUCUUUCUGUUAAGGUUCCUCAUAUCCUUCAACAAACCUUUCAAAAUAUCCGCAUUUUUGCUGCAAACACAAUCCCAAAAUGUAGCGGGAAAAACAGGGUCGCCCCAAUCAGGGUCGUCCCUGGGCAGGGCAUUAGGUGCCGCUGCCCAGGGCCUAAGGAAUUAGGGGUUCAAUUACAAUUUGUUCAGUUUUAGUUAUAGAAAUUUGAUGAAUAAAUUCUUUGCUUUUUUUAAAAUUAGAUGAAUAAUAAAUGCUCCUGUUUUCUACUACUUUCACUAUUCACAUGCAUAACUUCUUCCACCAAUUAUUUUCUCCAAAUUUAAUAUUUUAAUUUCACGUGUAUUGAACUUUCAUGUAUUCCAUUAUGGAUUCAAGGUUAUGUCUCUAGCUAAAUUUUGUGAUUUUAGAAUAUUAUACUUUAAUAUGGCAUUUUGUAGAGUUGUGGGUGAUAAAAAAAAUUAAGUAAAAGCUUUCAUAUAAGGACUACCGUAAAAGUGAGUAGACCACAAUACAGCAGAAGAAAUGUUUUAGUAGUCGUCUUUGGAUGCUUAAAUUGAAGUUUUAAAUGUGUAUUAAAACUAAUGUAUUAUUUUGAAGAAAAAAAUAUUUUAUAUAUGCAAAUUUAAAUUUUUUACUUUACUUUAUAAUUAAGGACCCAAUUUGUUAUUUCGCCCAUAGGCCAUCAGAAUCUUAGAAACGGGCAUGGCCCAAUCAGCUAAAUCGCUCUGAAGCUUUAUUUUUUUCUUUAAUGAAUUACGUGUUAACUUUUCAAUUACAUUUGCGCUCAUUACAUCAUCAACACUACGACGACGACGAUGCAACCUUGAAGCAUACAUAGUUCCGAUACUGGUGCUGAAUUUCACUUUCGAUGUUGCUUUUUUCCAGAGAAGAAGAUGUCGCCCAGCCAUCGCCCUAAUCGGACUUAUGAUAUUAGAAACUAAAUACGCAAGAUUGAGCAACAUGAUUCUGAUAACGUGCACAAUAUUUUGGUAUGAAAUAAGGAAGAAGGUUCUGAAGAAUAGGGGUUUUGAUCUUCAGGCUGGAUAUGGAACGAGGUACUGAAGAAGCUGAAGAGGCAAAAUGGGUUGUUACUUGUUUGGCCUCCUCUGCAUCGUGCCCACUUCCAGCCCGUCAACCAGUCUUGCUCAAUUAGUGAAGGAGGUCAAUGAGGCAAGGGUGCUGGAUACGACAAGCAAACUUUGUGAAAAGCUUCUGAAUAUGAACG
Molecule: long non-coding RNA, 3881 nt
Organism: Chenopodium quinoa (quinoa)
Lineage: Eukaryota; Viridiplantae; Streptophyta; Magnoliopsida; Caryophyllales; Amaranthaceae
Exons: 3
Source: RefSeq, a predicted model, not a curated record